GUCGAGCGGAGAUAUGUGGAGCUUGCUCCAUUAUCUUAGCGGCGGACGGGUGAGUAACACGUGGGCAACCUGCCCUGCAGAUCGGGAUAACUCCGGGAAACCGGUGCUAAUACCGAAUAGUUUGCGGCCUCUCAUGAGGCUGCACGGAAAGACGGUUUCGGCUGUCACUGCAGGAUGGGCCCGCGGCGCAUUAGCUAGUUGGUGAGGUAACGGCUCACCAAGGCCACGAUGCGUAGCCGACCUGAGAGGGUGAUCGGCCACACUGGGACUGAGACACGGCCCAGACUCCUACGGGAGGCAGCAGUAGGGAAUCUUCCGCAAUGGACGAAAGUCUGACGGAGCAACGCCGCGUGAGUGAAGAAGGUUUUCGGAUCGUAAAACUCUGUUGUGAGGGAAGAACAAGUACCAACUAACUACUGGUACCUUGACGGUACCUCACCAGAAAGCCACGGCUAACUACGUGCCAGCAGCCGCGGUAAUACGUAGGUGGCAAGCGUUGUCCGGAAUUAUUGGGCGUAAAGCGCGCGCAGGCGGUCCUUUAAGUCUGAUGUGAAAGCCCACGGCUCAACCGUGGAGGGUCAUUGGAAACUGGGGGACUUGAGUGCAGAAGAGGAAAGUGGAAUUCCACGUGUAGCGGUGAAAUGCGUAGAGAUGUGGAGGAACACCAGUGGCGAAGGCGACUUUCUGGUCUGUAACUGACGCUGAGGCGCGAAAGCGUGGGGAGCAAACAGAAUUAGAUACCCUGGUAGUCCACGCCGUAAACGAUGAGUGCUAAGUGUUAGGGGGUUUCCGCCCCUUAGUGCUGCAGCUAACGCAUUAAGCACUCCGCCUGGGGAGUACGGCCGCAAGGCUGAAACUCAAAGGAAUUGACGGGGGCCCGCAC
This 883-nucleotide ribosomal RNA is filed under the name Planococcus sp. (in: firmicutes). RNAcentral describes it as "bacterial SSU rRNA". It matches the Rfam family "Bacterial small subunit ribosomal RNA", at positions 61 to 926 of the family's 1533-position model. Lineage: Bacteria; Bacillati; Bacillota; Bacilli; Caryophanales; Caryophanaceae. The record is from RNAcentral.